RNAcentral lists this ribosomal RNA (253 nucleotides) under uncultured bacterium. RNAcentral describes it as "partial 16S ribosomal RNA". It matches the Rfam family "Bacterial small subunit ribosomal RNA", at positions 524 to 776 of the family's 1533-position model. The record is from RNAcentral.
UACGUAGGGGGCAAGCGUUGUCCGGAAUUAUUGGGCGUAAAGAGCUCGUAGGCGGCUUGUUGCGUCGGCUGUGAAAACCCGCGGCUUAACUGUGGGCUUGCAGCCGAUACGGGCGGGCUGGAGUUCGGUAGGGGAGACUGGAAUUCCUGGUGUAGCGGUGAAAUGCGCAGAUAUCAGGAGGAACACCGGUGGCGAAGGCGGGUCUCUGGGCCGAUACUGACGCUGAGGAGCGAAAGCGUGGGGAGCGAACAGG